AACCACAAGUGAAUCAUCUGUAAUCUGAAGUUGUCGUUUGACUCUUCCUUGCAAUAUCUCUUAGCUCAGAGUCAAUCUCUUAGCUCAAACUCAGACUCAAGAAGCUAAAGAACCAGCUCCUCUGACCAUCCUCACCCAUGUGUUUAGCUCCAAGUGGUUAUGCUUCUCUUUACUCUUCACUUUCUUUAAUUGACUAGAGCCACUGUUCAAGCUUCCGAUCAAACUCUUUAGAAUUCUCUCAAACCAAGCAUUUUUUUUCCAUUUUUUUGAGUCCUCAAGCUGUUAUUGCUGUAACCUUUUAGUUAAACUUUCUGUUUUGGUGAUUAAUUGCAUCAUAAAGUGAGGCACAGAUAUCAAAAACUGAGAGUGAUGAUGAAAAAAAGGAAAAAGAGUAUGAUGAGAAUGAGGUAGGGAUUGAGCAAUCUUAUGGACUUAAGUUCACCAAGGGAGGAGAUGGUGGCACUAACGUUGAUGCUAUUGCUCCUGGUGGCUCUGCUAACAAGACUGGAAAAAUAAUCGUUGGAGAUAAAAUUCUCGCCACCAGGGUUUUGGGUUCUUACAAUCGUUUUACGUUGUGCGGUGAUUUCUACUAAUCCUGCGGUUCUUAAAGCUGCGGCAAAGCCUCUGGCUACGUAUGGGGCGGUGGUUUCAGCUAACGGACCUGUUGUUGAAGCUGUAGCAAAGCCUGUGUCUUUGGAUGGGGAGCUGAUUUCUGCUAAUACUCCUGUUGCUGAAGCUGCAGUAAAGCCUGUGGAUGGAAUCAAGUACUCAUCUCGUGUUUUUAUCCCUCAAGAUCAUGAGCCGACGAGGUCUCCUUCUAAAAAUUCCUGCACCCAUAUACCCGUUGGCAAUCCGGUCAACUGUAAACCACCCAUCAGAAAACCCUAGCCCUGAUUUUUGAUCCGAUGCUUUUCUUGCUAGAUUUAAAGGUGUUGUUCUAGAGGAUAAUCUAUUUUUGUUGAAAUUGAGCCUACUGUUGUCAACUUUAUAUAUUUCUUGGUUGAUUUAAACUUUAUGUAUUGUCACCGAAUCUAUCAAUAAUUUUGCUACAGCCAAAGCUAAACUCACCAUAUUUGAACUUAUUCUUGGUUGAUAUAAACUAUUUAUAUUUUGGUUGGAUCUUAA
This is a long non-coding RNA of Mangifera indica (mango), 1125 nucleotides long. RefSeq lists it as uncharacterized. The transcript is spliced from 3 exons. NCBI's taxonomy places the organism in Eukaryota, Viridiplantae, Streptophyta, Magnoliopsida, Sapindales, Anacardiaceae. The record is from RefSeq and is a predicted model, not a curated record.